RNAcentral lists this ribosomal RNA (383 nucleotides) under uncultured bacterium. Its description in RNAcentral is "bacterial SSU rRNA". It matches the Rfam family "Bacterial small subunit ribosomal RNA", at positions 425 to 793 of the family's 1533-position model. The record is from RNAcentral.
GUAAAGCACUUCAGUCGUGAGGAAGGUGGUAGUGUUAAUAGCACUAUCAUUUGACGUUAGCGACAGAAGAAGCACCGGCUAACUCCGUGCCAGCAGCCGCGGUAAUACGGAGGGUGCGAGCGUUAAUCGGAAUUACUGGGCGUAAAGCGCAUGCAGGUGGUUUGUUAAGUUCAGAUGUGAAAGACCCGGGGCGUCAACCUCGGAAUAGCAUUUGUAAACUAGGCAAACUAGAGUACUGUAGAGGGGGGUAGGAAUUUCAGGUGUAGCGGUGAAAUAGCGUAGAGAUCUGAAGGAAUACCGGUGGCGAAGGCGGCCCCCUCGGACAGAUACUGACACUCAGAUGCGAAAGCGUGGGGAGCAAACAGGAUUAGAUACCCUGGUAG